UAUGUCACGCCCUCUACUUCUAGGGCCAGAUAGGGGCAGCCUCUCUUUUCUCUUCUCCCCCCUCCCUCUUCUCUUUCUCCCUCUCUCUAAGCAGGUGUUGGUGUGAUGCAGCUUCAGGGCGGACAGGUGCAGCCACUUACUAAUCAGCGGAUCGAUCCGUGUGGCGGGGAGAGGAGCGCUCUCAUUCAUUCACCCGCUGCCAUAAAAACCAGACGCUUCCCACAACCCGACGCUGGACCGUAACCUGAAAAUCCCUUGCCCACUCCGCCUGCUCUUCCCGUCUGCGUACCCAGCUCUCCUGCUCUUCAUCCCAGCUCCGUCCAGGACGCCGCCUCACGCCAUCACCACCUGCCUCUCUCCCUCCAGUCGGAGUUCACGGACUGCCUGCUCACUCACUCUCUCGCUAGCUCUGGUAGUACCCGACCCUGUCUCGCGUUUUGCAGACAGCGCUUUUUGUUAUUUGUUCUGACCCUGUCUCGCGUUUUGCAGACAGCGUUUUUUGUUAUUUGUUCUGACCCUGUCUCGCGUUUUGCAGACAGCGUUUUUUGUUAAUUGUUCUGAUCCUGUCUCGCGUUUUUGCAGACAGCGCUUUUGUUAAUUAUUACUGUUCCAGUCUCGCGUUUUGCAGACAGCGCUUUUUGGUUAAUUAUUACUGUUCCAGUCUUGCGUUUUUACAGACAGCGUUUUUGUUAGUUAUUACUGAUCCUGUCUCGCGUUUUUCAGACAGCGCUUUUUGUUAAUUGUUACUGCCCACCUUAGUUCCGUUUUCCUAUUUCUGUUUGCAUUUUUGGACCAAAUAAAUAUCUGUUUAACUGAACUGCUCUGACUUGAGUCUCUUUGUCCGCAUUUGAGCCUCGGUGCCUGAACCGUGACAGUACGGUCCAGCCAAGAUGAGCUCAGCAGACAAAGAGACUGGCGCGGAGGCAGUCUCCCCCGCUACCACGUUUCAACAAGCUAUUGCUAAUCAGGAAUGCGUGUUAGCUCAACAUGAUGAAUUGUUGCGUUCCCUGGUCAGUAGUAAUCAUGUUAUGCUUAACCAGAUCUCUGAACUAACCACCCAGUUAAGAGGGUUGGCUGGUCAAAUUGCUAAGACUGCUCCCCCAGGCUCAGCGUUAGCCGCUAAUCCUGUCUUGGCUAGCGUUAGUGUUCCACCUCCCUCUCGUGAACCUGUAGUGCCUGUACCUGAACGUUACAGGGGGGAGUUAGGAUCCUGCCAGGCCUUUUUAACUCAGGUUUCACUAGUUUUUGAGAUGCAGCCUCUCUCCUAUGCCUCCGAUCGUUCAAAAAUAGCUUACACCAUCGGGUUAUUGUCAGGACAGACGAGAGAGUGGGGCACGGCUGUUUGGGGACGCCAGGACAGUGCCUGUGAGUCCUACGCGGCGUUCGUGGCAGAGAUGAGGAAGGUCUUUGACCACCCAGUAAGCGGUAACAACGCCAGCCACCGCCUCAUGGCCAUCUCCCAAGGGACAAGGAGUGUCGCAGAGUUUGCGGUGGAGUUCCGGACGCUGGCUGCAGAGAGCUCCUGGAACGACGGCGCGCUCCAGGGAGCCUUUUACAAAGGGCUAGGUGAGGCCCUAAAGGACGAGCUGGCAACUCGUGACGACUCUCCAGACCUAGACCACCUCAUCGCAUUAGCGAUUAAGAUUGACAACCGGCUCCGGGAAAGGAGGCGAGAACGCAGCGCCCGCUCUGUACUAGGACCCACCAGAACCCCAAGUGCCCCAGGCCCCAGAACUCAGCCGGACCCCCCGCCGGAGUCUCUCCCAGAGCCAAUGCAGAUCGGCCGGGCCCACCUCACUGAGUCGGAGAAGUUACAACGUCGGUCAGCAAACCUGUGCCUGUAUUGUGGGCGUCCGGGUCACUACAUUGCCUCCUGCCCCGCCCGUCCGCCAAAAGGUCCGGCUCGCCAGUGACGGGGGAUCUGCUGGUGAGCCGUACUACUACUUCGCCCCCACAACGGCUCCAAGUGGCCAUAACCCUGUGUUGGCAGCGUCAGCCUAUCCCUCUUCUAGCCCUGGUGGAUUCUGGGGCUGAAGAGAAUUUCCUGGACUCUCGCCUGGCGUCCCAGCUCGGCAUUCCCACAGAAACUCUUGACGCGCCCUUGGAGGCUCGUGCUCUGAAUGGACUCCACCUGGCCCAAGUCCGCCAUAAGACUGUUCCGGUCUCCCUGGUGGUGGGGGGCAACCACCAUGAGACAAUUUCCUUCCACCUCAUCGACCAGUCUAGUCCACCCUUGGUUCUUGGGUUCCCUUGGCUCCAGGUCCAUAAUCCCCACAUUGACUGGCAGCAGGGGGAGAUCCGUUCCUGGAGCCGGGAGUGCUACCAACGUUGCCUGACAUCUGCCCUGACUCCUGAAACUCGAGCCAGCCCCCGGGCCCUACCUUCCGAACCCCUCAACCUGGACCUUGUACCUUCUGUGUACCACGAUCUGGCCAUGGUUUUUAGCAAGGAUCAAGCCCUGUCUCUGCCCCCACACAGACCCUACGACUGUGCUAUAGACUUACUUCCCGGAGCUACACUACCCCGUUGCAGACUGUACAACCUGUCUAGACCUGAACAGGCCACCAUGGAGUCCUACAUCCGCGAUUCUCUGGCGGCUGGCAUCAUCCGCCCCUCUUCAUCCCCUGUCGGCGCUGGAUUCUUUUUUGUCUCCAAGAAGGACAAAUCCCUCCGUCCCUGCAUAGACUUCCGGGGCCUCAAUGACAUUACUGUUAAGAAUACUUACCCCCUUCCCCUAAUCAAUUCUGCCUUCACCCCGCUGCAUGGAGCCUCUGUCUUCACCAAACUGGAUCUUAGAAAUGCCUACCACCUCAUCCGAAUCCGGGAGGGCGACGAGUGGAAGACCGCCUUCAAUACUCCCCUGGGACACUUUGAAUACCUGGUCAUGCCCUUCGGCCUCACUAACGCCCCCGCAGUUUUCCAGAACCUCAUCAACGACGUCUUGAGGGACAUGCUCAAUCGGUUCGUCUUCGUCUACCUGGAUGACAUCUUAAUAUACUCCCGAAACCUUGAAGAACAGGUCUGCCAUGUCCGCCAGGUCCUCGAACGUCUCCUCCAGAACCGCCUCUUCGUCAAGGCAGAGAAAUGCGAGUUCCACGCAUCCACUGUGGCUUUCCUGGGAUUCAUCAUCUCCUCCGGGGAGGUCAAGAUGGACCCAUUAAAGGUGGAGGCAGUGACUGAGUGGCCCCGUCCCGAAGACCGGAGACAGCUUCAGCGCUUCCUUGGUUUUGCAAACUUCUACCGCCGUUUCAUCCGAAAUUACAGCUCUGUUGCAGCCCCCCUGACCACCCUCACUUCCACCACCAAGAUCUUUUGUUGGACCCCUGAAGCAAACAAGGCCUUCUCUGAGCUGAAGCAACGCUUUGUUUCGGCGCCUAUCCUGAUCCAGCCAGAUCCCGAGAGACAGUUCAUCCUGGAGGUGGAUGCCUCGGACACCGGGGUAGGGGCAGUCCUGUCCCAGCGGGCUGCGACAGACCAAAAACUACACCCCUGUGCCUUCUUCUCACGGCGUCUUACCCCCGCAGAGAGGAACUAUGAUGUCGGAGAUCGCGAGCUGUUGGCCGUCAAGCUCGCUCUGGAGGAAUGGCGGCAUCUGUUGGAGGGUGCCCUGCAGCCUUUCAUCGUGUGGACAGACCACAAGAACCUGGAAUACAUCAGGUCGGCCAGGAGGAUGAAUUCCCGCCAGGCCCGCUGGUCCCUCUUCUUCAGCCGCUUCAACUUCUCCAUCACUUAUCGCCCCGGGUCCAGGAACACCAAGCCUGAUGCCCUGUCCCGUCAGUUCUCCGGAGAGAACGCCCUGCCAGACCCAGAACCCAUCUUGCCCCAGACUCGCAUUGUCGCCUCCCUCACUUGGGAGGUUGAGGCCCAAGUACUCCGGGCCCUAGAACAGCAACCUGACCCCGGAGGCGGUCCCCCAAACCGCCUGUUUGUCCCAGAAGCCGUCCGCCCGCAGGUCCUCAUGUGGGGGCAUACCUCUAAGUUCGCCUGUCAUCCCGGAUCUGCCCGCACCUUAGAGGUCCUCCGGCAACGGUUCUGGUGGCCCACCAUGGAGGCAGACACCCGUGAGUUCACCCUGGCCUGCUCCGUCUGUGCCCGCAACAAAACGUCCAAUCAACCCAGCUCCGGAUUCCUGCGGCCGCUUCCCAUUCCCAGGAGACCCUGGUCCCACAUUGCAGUGGAUUUUGUCACAGGCCUCCCUCCUUCCCAGGGCAACACCGCCAUAUUAACCAUUGUCGACCGGUUCUCCAAAUCUGCCCAUUUCCUUCCCCUGCCCAAGUUACCCACAGCCAUUAAGACUGCAGAUCUUCUGGUCUCUCAGGUUUUCAGGAUUCACGGCAUCCCUUCCGACAUAGUCUCCGACCGUGGUCCCCAGUUCACGUCAGAGGUGUGGAGGGCGUUUUGUAAGGCUCUGGGGGCCACGGUCAGUCUCUCUUCUGGUUUCCACCCACAAUCAAACGGCCAGACGGAACGGGCCAAUCAGUCUCUAGAGACUUUCCUACGCUGUGUGGCCUCAGAACACCCUACGACCUGGAGCAAUCAACUCCCCUGGGUGGAGUACGCUUACAACUCCCUGUCUAACUCUUCCUCUGGACUGUCCCCCUUCCAGUGCGUCCUGGGAUACCAGCCCCCCUGUUUCCAGCUUCUGAAGAGGAGAUUGUCAUACCCUCGGUGCAAAGCUUCGUCAGGAGGUGCAAACGAACUUGGAGGAAGGUUCGGGUCGCCCUCCGCCGGGCCUCCUUGAGAAUGGAGCAACAGGCCAACCGUCGCCGUUCCCCUGCUCCUGCCUACGCCCCGGGCCAGAAGGUUUGGCUCAGGGCCAAGGAUCUCCCACUCCGGGUGGAGUCAAAGAAGUUGGCCCCACGCUUUGUCGGUCCGUUCGAGGUGGAGAGGGUCAUUAACCCCGCUGCCGUCCGGCUUAAGCUGCCCCGGUCCAUGAAGAUUCAUCCCACGUUCCAUGUUUCGCAGCUGAAGCCGGUACGGGAGAGUCCUUUGGCCCCACCCGUCCAUCCCCCUCCUCCGCCCAGGAUAGUGGACGAUGGGCCAGUCUACACUGUCAGUCGCUUGCUGGAUGUCCGUCGGCGGGGUAGAGGGGUCCAGUUCUUGGUCGACUGGGAGGGAUAUGGGCCAGAGGAGCGCAGCUGGGUUCCCCGUCGCCAGAUCCUGGACCACACGUUGGUCAGCGACCUCUACCGCCGCCACCCAGAGAAGCGCCUUCGUGCACCUGGAGGUGCACGUAGGGGGGUACUGUCACGCCCUCUACUUCUAGGGCCAGAUAGGGGCAGCCUCUCUUUUCUCUUCUCCCCCUCCCUCUUCUCUUUCUCCCUCUCUCUAAGCAGGUGUUGGUGUGAUGCAGCUUCAGGGCGGACAGGUGCAGCCACUUACUAAUCAGCGGAUCGAUCCGUGUGGCGGGGAGAGGAGCGCUCUCAUUCAUUCACCCGCUGCCAUAAAAACCAGACGCUUCCCACAACCCGACGCUGGACCGUAACCUGAAAAUCCCUUGCCCACUCCGCCUGCUCUUCCCGUCUGCGUACCCAGCUCUCCUGCUCUUCAUCCCAGCUCCGUCCAGGACGCCGCCUCACGCCAUCACCACCUGCCUCUCUCCCUCCAGUCGGAGUUCACGGACUGCCUGCUCACUCACUCUCUCGCUAGCUCUGGUAGUACCCGACCCUGUCUCGCGUUUUGCAGACAGCGCUUUUUGUUAUUUGUUCUGACCCUGUCUCGCGUUUUGCAGACAGCGUUUUUUGUUAUUUGUUCUGACCCUGUCUCGCGUUUUGCAGACAGCGUUUUUUGUUAAUUGUUCUGAUCCUGUCUCGCGUUUUUGCAGACAGCGCUUUUGUUAAUUAUUACUGUUCCAGUCUCGCGUUUUGCAGACAGCGCUUUUUGGUUAAUUAUUACUGUUCCAGUCUUGCGUUUUUACAGACAGCGUUUUUGUUAGUUAUUACUGAUCCUGUCUCGCGUUUUUCAGACAGCGCUUUUUGUUAAUUGUUACUGCCCACCUUAGUUCCGUUUUCCUAUUUCUGUUUGCAUUUUUGGACCAAAUAAAUAUCUGUUUAACUGAACUGCUCUGACUUGAGUCUCUUUGUCCGCAUUUGAGCCUCGGUGCCUGAACCGUG
Molecule: non-coding RNA, 6113 nt
Organism: Xyrichtys novacula (pearly razorfish)
Lineage: Eukaryota; Metazoa; Chordata; Actinopteri; Labriformes; Labridae
Source: the annotation of a GenBank genome assembly